GAAAGGUAACACAGCAACAAAAAAAAACCCUCGCUGUCAGACGCGCUUCUUCUUCCUCAGCCCCACUACCGGGUAAUACUAUGGCAACGGAAUUACAAUCACAAAUCAGCAAAUAUUUAACAGUAAAUAGCUUGAUU
Thalassophryne amazonica is the source of this 137-nucleotide long non-coding RNA. RefSeq lists it as uncharacterized. The transcript has 3 exons. The record is from RefSeq and is a predicted model, not a curated record. Lineage: Eukaryota; Metazoa; Chordata; Actinopteri; Batrachoidiformes; Batrachoididae.